CAUCCUGGGGCUGCUCCUACUUCCCUUUUCUCAGGGUCUGCGCUCCCUCCCUGGAACAGCUGGGCCCAGGUCUCCCUCCAGGGAGCGUUCGGAUGGAGCACGGCCACCCACCAUCAUGACUAAAGAUCAAAAAGAGCAAAACAGAACAAGACCUCAGGUCUCCGGGCCAUUUCCCCCUUCAGAGGCGGAGAGCAGCACAUCAAAACCAGAAGAUGAGCCAGAAGGUGGGUGUGCAGAGUGGAAGCCGCGAGCCACCGGAGACAGAAGAGUGCGAAUCGAGAUGGGCUUGCAUGUGAAACACUCAGCAGAGGUCACAGAUUUGGGACCGGAAACAAGCGGAAUGUCUCUCACCGGCGACUCUUCAAUUCUGGAUUUUCAUGCGAAAGUGAUAGCAUCUGGCUUUUAUUUGGG
Molecule: long non-coding RNA, 411 nt
Organism: Bos taurus (domestic cattle)
Lineage: Eukaryota; Metazoa; Chordata; Mammalia; Artiodactyla; Bovidae
Source: Ensembl